Molecule: ribosomal RNA, 414 nt
Filed under: uncultured Planctomycetaceae bacterium
Lineage: Bacteria; Pseudomonadati; Planctomycetota; Planctomycetia; Planctomycetales; Planctomycetaceae
Description: partial 16S ribosomal RNA
Rfam family: Bacterial small subunit ribosomal RNA
Source: RNAcentral
UCGAGAAUCUUCGGCAAUGGGCGCAAGCCUGACCGAGCGACGCCGCGUGGAGGAUGAAGGCCUUCGGGUUGUAAACUCCUGUCGAGGGGGAAGAAGGGCCGCAAGGCUUUGACUGAUCCCUGGAGGAAGCACGGGCUAAGUUCGUGCCAGCAGCCGCGGUAAGACGAACCGUGCGAACGUUAUUCGGAAUCACUGGGCUUAAAGCGCGUGUAGGCGGGACGGCACGUCGGUCGCUGAAAUCCCCCGGCUCAACCGGGGAACGGGCGCCGAUACGACCGUCCUGGAGGGACGUAGGGGGACCUGGAACUUCCGGUGGAGCGGUGAAAUGCGUUGAGAUCGGAAGGAACGCCCGUGGCGAAAGCGAGGUCCUGGACGUUUUCUGACGCUGAGACGCGAAAGCCAGGGGAGCGAACG